GGAACCUCAAUGGACCUUCCGGAUUCUUCUCACAUGCAUCCAUUUUAUCGAAACACUCAGCCAGAUAUUCCCCUUGUUGUGCAGCCACCUAAUAAAACAAGAUUAAAAAAAUUAAAAAAUUACGAGUUUUUUUUAUAAUUUUUUUAAAUAGUAUAAUAUUCUAGGCCAAAAUCCGAUGAAUCUGUUUUUUUAAUUUUUUUUUUGUUGUAUUACCUGUGCAGUUGCGGGGAGAUUUUUCAUCUGCGAAUCGACUUCGGAAAGUGCGAGCUUGAAUUUCUCAAUGUCCAGCUCAUCGUCUCCUUGUGAAUUUUUUAGGAGAUUAUUGAAGUUCUUAAGCUGCUUCUUCUUCAGAUGAAUUGCCACCUGUGGGUACCUCUCGCAUAUGUCGUUUAUCACUUCCUUAAAAUCGUCAACCUUAAGUCGACCCGUGUUUUUCUUGUCUGCUUUGUUGAAGAUGGCCGAAAUAUCCUCCUGGUAAUAUUAUAUCCGAAAUUCAGUCCCCCCGUUUUUUUUAUCAAGUAACGAACAAAAAUACUAUGGGUAAAAUACACGUAGUGCCCUGAGGUUAGGUUAUAUUACAACUAAACCCCUUCAAGUUUGGAAAGUUACAUAUACAUUCCUUCAGGUUUGGUUCCAGCCAACAAUUUACUACCUGAGAACGGUGAUCUCAACGAAAAAAUGAUUGUGAUUCUCUUUUUAUCAAUUUUAUCAUCAUUUUUAUCCUUUUAGACUUCAUUUAAAUAAAAAUAAAAAAAUAUCGAAAAAUACAAGUCCAAACCAAUCGGAAUUGAAAUUCAAUCGUUUUUGCGAAAAGAAAUGACGACUCUCUCCCUGGCCCUUAGACAGUAGUUUUUUUAAAAUAAAAAAAUAAAAUAAAAAUAAGAAUUAUGGUUAUGAUAAAAUUGUCAAUUGGUGCAUUUUGGUUGGGUUUAUGGAUGGAACAAAACCUCAAGGGAGAUAAAAUAUGUAAUUUUCGAAACAUGAGGGGUCUGGGUGUAACUUGUCGUAACCUCAGGGGAGGUGGAUGUAAUUUACCCAAAUAUUAAUCUACAUUGUGUCGAAACUUAUAAUGUGUAAUGAAAUCUUGAAAUAAUUCGAAAAGGAAAAAAAAGAAAGAACAUACCAUGACUCUACGUUGAUUUAUCGUGGCACAAUCACCUAAAGCGUAGAUGUCGUCGCAUCCUUCAACCCUAAGCCAUUCAUCAGUUGCUAAAACUCUCCUGUUUGUCUGAAUUCCAAGAGAGAGAUUAAGAAACACGUAUUAUUUAAAAGCUAUAAAAUACGUCUUAAGAGAGAGAGAGAGAGAGAGAGAGAGAGAGAGAGAGAGAGAGAGAGACCUGUCCAAUUUGCUUCAUGAAAUCCAUGACAACGGGUCGAGUUCCUAUACCGGUGGACCAGACAACCAUUCCAUACGGUAUAGAUACAGUUUGUCCAGUGGCUCUCUCUUUAGUACAUAUCUCCUUUUCACUAACCUUUGUCACCAUCGAACCAACUUUCAAGUUUAUACCGUCCCUCUGGAACUUCUCUUCCGCAAAAACCGUAAUCCUCUUGUCAAACCUGUGCAACAAAAAUACAAUUUUAAAAAUAAAAUAAAAAAUCUCGUACAUGAAUAUAAUUAAAAAAAAAAAAUUACAUGUUCAAAAUGUGAUCGCCAGCUUCGAGAAGAGUGAUUUUGACGUGUUCUUCGAGUGCAGGAUAAAGUUUGGCCAAAUCCUCGAUCACAUAAUCGUGAAGCUCUGCGGCAAACUCGACCCCUGUGGGCCCACCUCCAACAACAAC
RNAcentral lists this long non-coding RNA (1779 nucleotides) under Erythranthe guttata (spotted monkey flower). Its description in RNAcentral is "long non-coding RNA (EGUT_LNC002933)". The record is from RNAcentral. Lineage: Eukaryota; Viridiplantae; Streptophyta; Magnoliopsida; Lamiales; Phrymaceae.